Molecule: ribosomal RNA, 253 nt
Filed under: uncultured bacterium
Lineage: Bacteria
Description: partial 16S ribosomal RNA
Rfam family: Bacterial small subunit ribosomal RNA
Source: RNAcentral
UACGUAGGUGGCAAGCGUUGUCCGGAUUUACUGGGUGUAAAGGGCGUGUAGCCGGGCUGACAAGUCAGAUGUGAAAUCCGGGGGCUCGACCCCCGAACUGCAUUUGAAACUGUUGGUCUUGAGUAUCGGAGAGGCAGGCGGAAUUCCUAGUGUAGCGGUGAAAUGCGUAGAUAUUAGGAGGAACACCAGUGGCGAAGGCGGCCUGCUGGACGACAACUGACGGUGAGGCGCGAAAGCGUGGGGAGCAAACAGG